This is a non-coding RNA of Tinamus guttatus (white-throated tinamou), 101 nucleotides long. The record is from RefSeq and is a predicted model, not a curated record. Lineage: Eukaryota; Metazoa; Chordata; Aves; Tinamiformes; Tinamidae.
CAUAGGUGCCACUAUCGGGACCCACCACCAAUUAUUUCCAGCCCUGUAAGAAAAAGAAAUAAAAAAUCAUUAUUUGCUACUUGGGUUAACACCUGACCUUU